CGUAUACCCGGCUAUUAUCUUUUAUUUCCAUUAACUCUCAAUAUAUGAGUAUACCUCUAGAUGUAUUGUAUUCGCGUUUGUUACUUUUCGGAGCGAGUCUCAAAGCGAUUUUACGCAUGUUGCACCGUUGCACGUGCUUCAUUCAUCAUCUCAACAAUAAAAACACCAAUUUCAAUAGAUUUCGGUCUUACCGUUGCCUCUCGCCUUGAAUUCAAAAAGAAUAAUACUAUAUUCCUAUGUGGGAAAUACAGUAAACAUCGAUGCGUAAAUGAGCCGUUUAUUUUGAAAGUGACCUAACUCCGUUUUUCAAUUUUUUACCGGUUACCAUGGUUACAAGUACAACUUCAUGUUAUUUAUCAGUGACGCAUUUGAGAUUGCUUAUAUUCAGAGAAAAUACGGUACAUUUUUUACACAUAAGUUUUCCGAAUUAAUUGAAUAACUAAGACGUGUAGUUUGAAAGUGGCCUAACUCCAUUUAUAGUUACAUCAGGAUAUUUACUAUUGAUAAUGUCGGAAAGCAGCGAUGAAGAAAUUAUUGCACCCAUGAGGAAAAACUGGAGAAGACCACUUAGUUCAGAUAGUGAAGAAGAAAUAGUAAUUAAUAAUUAAAAAAAAGCGAAUAAGAAAAAGAGUUAUAGAACAAUAUUCCUCGUCAGAGGAUGAAGAUUCAAAUAACAAUGGAGAAAAGAUAGAUGCACCAUAUAUCCAAAAAGUGCGAAAGAUUAAACGGAAUUCAGGAAAAA
Long non-coding RNA from Dalotia coriaria, 742 nucleotides. RefSeq lists it as uncharacterized. The transcript has 2 exons. Lineage: Eukaryota; Metazoa; Arthropoda; Insecta; Coleoptera; Staphylinidae. The record is from RefSeq and is a predicted model, not a curated record.